Molecule: transfer RNA, 72 nt
Filed under: Candidatus Cacconaster merdequi
Lineage: Bacteria; Pseudomonadati; Bacteroidota; Bacteroidia; Bacteroidales
Description: tRNA-Arg
Rfam family: tRNA
About the family: Transfer RNA (tRNA) molecules are approximately 80 nucleotides in length. Their secondary structure includes four short double-helical elements and three loops (D, anti-codon, and T loops).
Source: RNAcentral
GCUCGCGUCAUUCAACGGAUAGGAUACUGGCCUACGAAGCCUGGUAUGGAGGUUCGAAUCCUCCCGGGAGCA